This 429-nucleotide ribosomal RNA is filed under the name Pseudomonadota bacterium. RNAcentral describes it as "Proteobacteria bacterium partial 16S ribosomal RNA". It matches the Rfam family "Bacterial small subunit ribosomal RNA", at positions 355 to 776 of the family's 1533-position model. Lineage: Bacteria; Pseudomonadati; Pseudomonadota. The record is from RNAcentral.
UGGGGAAUAUUGGACAAUGGGCGAAAGCCUGAUCCAGCCAUGCCGCGUGUGUGAAGAAGGUCUUCGGAUUGUAAAGCACUUUAAGGUGGGAGGAAGGGCAGUAAGCGAAUACCUUGCUGUUUUGACGUUACCGACAGAAUAAGCACCGGCUAACUCUGUGCCAGCAGCCGCGGUAGUACAGAGGGUGCAAGCGUUAAUCGGAAUUACUGGGCGUAAAGCGCGCGUAGGUGGUUCGUUAAGUUGAAUGUGAAAGCCCCGGGCUCAACCUGGGAACUGCAUCCAAAACUGGCGAGCUAGAGUAGGGCAGAGGGUGGUGGAAUUUCCUGUGUAGCGGUGAAAUGCGUAGAUAUAGGAAGGAACACCAGUGGCGAAGGCGACCACCUGGGCUCAUACUGACACUGAGGUGCGAAAGCGUGGGGAGCAAACAGG